GGGAUUGCCCCAGUAACGGCGAGUGAAGCGGCAACAGCUCAAAUUUGAAAUCUGGCCCUUCUGGGGUCCGAGUUGUAAUUUGUAGAGAGUGCUUCGGGGGAGACCGCGGUCUAAGUCCAUUGGAACAUGGCGUCCCAGAGGGUGAGAAUCCCGUAUGUGACCGCGGCUCGAGCCCAUGUGAAGCCUCUUCGACGAGUCGAGUUGUUUGGGAAUGCAGCUCUAAAUGGGUGGUAAAUUUCAUCUAAAGCUAAAUACUGGCUGGAGACCGAUAGCGCACAAGUAGAGUGAUCGAAAGAUGAAAAGCACUUUGGAAAGAGAGUUAAACAGUACGUGAAAUUGUUGAAAGGGAAGCGCUUGCAACCAGACCUGCCCGUAGGCGAUCACCCGCUGUUCUCAGCGGUGCACUCGUUCUGCGAUCAGGCCAGCAUCGGUUCGGGCGGUCGGAUAAAGGCCUUGGGAAUGUAGCUUCCCUUCGGGGGAGUCUUAUAGCCCUCGGUGCAAUGCGGCCAGCCGGGACCGAGGACCGCGCUUCGGCUAGGAUGCUGGCGUAAUGGUUGUAAGCGACCCGUCUUGAAACACGGACCAAGGAGUCUACCAUCUAUGCGAGUGUUUGGGUGUCAAACCCAUGCGCGAAAUGAAAGUGAACGGAGGUGAGAACCCUUAAGGGCGCAUCAUCGACCGAUCCAGAUGUCUUCGGAUGGAUUUGAGUAUGAGCAUGGCUGGUGGGACCCGAAAGAUGGUGAACUAUGCCUGAAUAGGGUGAAGCCAGAGGAAACUCUGGUGGAGGCUCGCAGCGGUUCUGACGUGCAAAUCGAUCGUCAAAUUUGGGUAUAGGGGCGAAAGACUAAUC
This 850-nucleotide ribosomal RNA is filed under the name Melanohalea elegantula. RNAcentral describes it as "LSU rRNA". It matches the Rfam family "Eukaryotic large subunit ribosomal RNA", at positions 71 to 936 of the family's 3401-position model. Lineage: Eukaryota; Fungi; Ascomycota; Lecanoromycetes; Lecanorales; Parmeliaceae. The record is from RNAcentral.